Molecule: ribosomal RNA, 377 nt
Filed under: uncultured organism
Description: bacterial SSU rRNA
Rfam family: Bacterial small subunit ribosomal RNA
Source: RNAcentral
CAGAGGGUGCGAGCGUUGUCCGGAAUCACUGGGCGGUAAAGGGACGGCGUAGGUGGCUCUGUAAGUCGGGGGUGGAAAUAGCUGCGGCUCAACCGCAGCGCUGCCUCCGAGACUGCAAGGCUUGAGCACGGUAGAGGCCGAUGGAAUUCCCGGUGUAGCGGUGGAAUGCGUAGAGAUCGGGAAGAACACCAAUGGCGAAGGCAGUCGGCUGGGCCGUUGCUGACACUGAGGCGCGACAGCGUGGGGAGCAAACAGGAUUAGAUACCCUGGUAGUCCACGCCGUAAACGAUGGGCACUAGGCGUCGGGGGGAGCGACCCUCCCGGUGCCGUCGCUAACGCAGUAAGUGCCCCGCCUGGGGAGUACGGCCGCAAGGUUG